This 443-nucleotide ribosomal RNA is filed under the name uncultured bacterium. RNAcentral's name for it is "partial 16S ribosomal RNA". It matches the Rfam family "Bacterial small subunit ribosomal RNA", at positions 338 to 795 of the family's 1533-position model. The record is from RNAcentral.
CCUACGGGUGGCAGCAGUGGGGAAUAUUGGACAAUGGGGGGAACCCUGAUCCAGCGACGCCGCGUGAGUGAAGAAGUAUUUCGGUAUGUAAAGCUCUAUCAGCAGGGAAGAAAGAAAUGACGGUACCUGACUAAGAAGCCCCGGCUAACUACGUGCCAGCAGCCGCGGUAAUACGUAGGGGGCAAGCGUUAUCCGGAUUUACUGGGUGUAAAGGGAGCGUAGACGGCGAUGCAAGUCUGAAGUGAAAGGCGGGGGCCCAACCUCCGGACUGCUUUGGAAACUGUAUGGCUGGAGUGAAGGAGAGGUAAGUGGAAUUCCUAGUGUAGCGGUGAAAUGCGUAGAUAUUAGGAGGAACACCAGUGGCGAAGGCGGCUUACUGGACUGUAACUGACGUUGAGGCUCGAAAGCGUGGGGAGCAAACAGGAUUAGAUACCCCGGUAGUC